UUGCGGUGGCUCAUGGCAGGCGGGAAACGCCCGGCUCCUUUCCGAACCCGGAAGCUAAGCCGCCUUUGCGCUGAUGGUACUGCGACCGGGGGGUCGUGGGAGAGUAAGACACUGCCGCAA
Molecule: ribosomal RNA, 120 nt
Filed under: Trueperella pyogenes
Lineage: Bacteria; Bacillati; Actinomycetota; Actinomycetes; Actinomycetales; Actinomycetaceae
Source: RNAcentral